CAGCCGCCACGGGAAUACGUAGGGUGCGAGCGUUAAUCAGAAUUACUGGGCGUAAAGCGUGCGCAGGCGGUUGUGUAAGACAGGUGUGAAAUCCCCGGGCUUAACCUGGGAACUGCGCUUGUGACUGCACGGCUAGAGUAUGGCAGAGGGGGGUGGAAUUCCACGUGUAGCAGUGAAAUGCGUAGAGAUGUGGAGGAACACCGAUGGCGAAGGCAGCCCCCUGGGCCAAUACUGACGCUCAUGCACGAAAGCGUGGGGAGCAAACAGGAUUAGAUACCCGCGUAGUCCCUGUCUCUUAUAC
Molecule: ribosomal RNA, 301 nt
Filed under: uncultured bacterium
Lineage: Bacteria
Description: partial 16S ribosomal RNA
Rfam family: Bacterial small subunit ribosomal RNA
Source: RNAcentral